Molecule: ribosomal RNA, 429 nt
Filed under: uncultured bacterium
Lineage: Bacteria
Description: bacterial SSU rRNA
Rfam family: Bacterial small subunit ribosomal RNA
Source: RNAcentral
UGGGGAAUAUUGGACAAUGGGGGCAACCCUGAUCCAGCGACGCCGCGUGGGUGAAGAAGGCCUGCGGGUUGUAAAGCCCUUUCGGUGGGGAAGAAAAGUUUCGGCCUAAUACGCUGAGACCUUGACGUAACCCACUAAAGAAGCACCGGCUAACUCUGUGCCAGCAGCCGCGGUAAUACAGAGGGUGCGAGCGUUAAUCGGAAUUACUGGGCGUAAAGCGCGCGUAGGCGGCUUUUCAAGUCGAUUGUGAAAUCCCCGGGCUUAACCUGGGAACUGCAGUCGAGACUGUCUAGCUAGAGUAUGGGAGAGGGAAGUGGAAUUUCAGGUGUAGCGGUGAAAUGCGUAGAUAUCUGAAGGAACAUCAGUGGCGAAAGCGACUUCCUGGACCAAUACUGACGCUCAUGUGCGAAAGCGUGGGGAGCAAACAGG